RNAcentral lists this ribosomal RNA (253 nucleotides) under uncultured bacterium. RNAcentral describes it as "partial 16S ribosomal RNA". It matches the Rfam family "Bacterial small subunit ribosomal RNA", at positions 524 to 776 of the family's 1533-position model. The record is from RNAcentral.
UACGAAGGGCGCAAGCGUUAAUCGGAAUUACUGGGCGUAAAGCGUGCGUAGGCGGUUCGUUAAGUCUGAUGUGAAAGCCCUGGGCUCAACCUGGGAAUGGCAUUGGAUACUGGCGGGCUAGAGUGCGGUAGAGGGGUGCGGAAUUCCCGGUGUAGCGGUGAAAUGCGUAGAGAUCGGGAGGAACAUCUGUGGCGAAGGAGGCCCCCGGGACCAGCAAUGACGUUGAGGCACGAAAGCGUGGGGAGCAAACAGG